Molecule: unclassified non-coding RNA, 532 nt
Filed under: Hevea brasiliensis (rubber tree)
Lineage: Eukaryota; Viridiplantae; Streptophyta; Magnoliopsida; Malpighiales; Euphorbiaceae
Source: RNAcentral
GCCUCAGAUGAUGGUGGUUUCAGAUUUGGAUGACAUAUUUGUUCCAUUGCCUGAUGAUCUCCUUGUUAAUUUGUCUGAAUCAAGAAGUGUUGUAGAGGCAUUUCUAGAUAGUUUACCAUCCAUGUUUCAGGACAAUAUGAAUGUGGAAUCUGCUUUUGGUCCAGCUUUAAAAGCAGCAUUCAUGGUUAUGAGCCAACUUGGCGGAAAAUUGUUGAUUUUCCAGAAUACCAUGCCAUCUAUUGGUUUUGGCCGCUUAAAGUUGCGUGGGGAUGAUCUUCGUGUUUAUGGAACAGAUAAAGAACAUGCUUUAAGAAUACCAGAGGAUCCAUUCUAUAAGCAAAUGGCAGCUGAUUUUACCAAGUACCAGAUAGGAGUUAAUGUAUAUGCAUUCAGUGACAAGUACACUGAUAUAGCUUCUAUAGGGACUCUGGCUAAAUAUACUGGAGGACAGGUUUAUUAUUAUCCAAGUUUUCAAUCUGCUAAUCAUGGAGAGAAGUUGAGGCAUGAGCUGGCUAGGGAUCUUACAAGGGAA